This 799-nucleotide ribosomal RNA is filed under the name uncultured Acidobacteriaceae bacterium. RNAcentral's name for it is "bacterial SSU rRNA". It matches the Rfam family "Bacterial small subunit ribosomal RNA", at positions 58 to 888 of the family's 1533-position model. Lineage: Bacteria; Pseudomonadati; Acidobacteriota; Terriglobia; Terriglobales; Acidobacteriaceae. The record is from RNAcentral.
CAAGUCGAACGAGAAAGUGGAGCAAUCCAUGAGUAAAGUGGCGCACGGGUGAGUAACACGUGACUAACCUACCCUUGAGUGGGGGAUAACCUCGGGAAACCGGGGCUAAUACCGCAUAAUACCUGCGGGUCAAAGGAGCAAUUCGCUUAAGGAGGGGGUCGCGGCAGAUUAGUUAGUUGGCGGGGUAAUGGCCCACCAAGACGGUGAUCUGUAUCCGGCCUGAGAGGGCGCACGGACACACUGGAACUGAAACACGGUCCAGACUCCUACGGGAGGCAGCAGUGGGGAAUUUUGCGCAAUGGGGGAAACCCUGACGCAGCAACGCCGCGUGGAGGAUGAAGUCCCUUGGGACGUAAACUCCUUUCGAUCGGGACGAUUAUGACGGUACCGGAAGAAGAAGCCCCGGCUAACUUCGUGCCAGCAGCCGCGGUAAUACGAGGGGGGCGAGCGUUGUUCGGAAUUAUUGGGCGUAAAGGGCGCGUAGGCGGUCGGAUAAGUCUUGUGUGAAAUCUUCGGGCUCAACUCGAAGUCUGCACAGGAAACUAUCUGGCUUGAGUGUGGGAGAGGUGAGUGGAAUUCCUGGUGUAGCGGUGAAAUGCGUAGAUAUCAGGAGGAACACCUGUGGCGAAAGCGGCUCACUGGACCACAACUGACGCUGAGGCGCGAAAGCUAGGGGAGCAAACAGGAUUAGAUACCCUGGUAGUCCUAGCCCUAAACGAUGAUCGCUUGGUGUGACGGGUACCCAAUCCCGCCGUGCCGAAGCUAACGCGUUAAGCGAUCCGCCUGGGGAGUACGGUCG